GACAGUAUAGUGUAGUGGUUUGAGUGCUGGGCUUGGACUUCCGGAGAUCAGGGUUCGAAUCCCCGCUCAGCCC
This is a non-coding RNA of Phrynosoma platyrhinos (Desert horned lizard), 73 nucleotides long. The record is from the annotation of a GenBank genome assembly. NCBI's taxonomy places the organism in Eukaryota, Metazoa, Chordata, Lepidosauria, Squamata, Phrynosomatidae.